GCAUCCGUAGCUCAGCUGGAUAGAGUAGUCGGCUGCGAACCGAGCGGUCGGAGGUUCGAAUCCUCCCGGAUGCA
This 74-nucleotide transfer RNA is filed under the name Escherichia coli CE516. RNAcentral describes it as "tRNA-Arg". It matches the Rfam family "tRNA". Rfam says of the family: Transfer RNA (tRNA) molecules are approximately 80 nucleotides in length. Their secondary structure includes four short double-helical elements and three loops (D, anti-codon, and T loops). Further hydrogen bonds mediate the characteristic L-shaped molecular structure. tRNAs have two regions of fundamental functional importance: the anti-codon, which is responsible for specific mRNA codon recognition, and the 3' end, to which the tRNAs corresponding amino acid is attached (by aminoacyl-tRNA synthetases). tRNAs cope with the degeneracy of the genetic code in two manners: having more than one tRNA (with a specific anti-codon) for a particular amino acid; and 'wobble' base-pairing, i.e. permitting non-standard base-pairing at the 3rd anti-codon position. The record is from RNAcentral. Lineage: Bacteria; Pseudomonadati; Pseudomonadota; Gammaproteobacteria; Enterobacterales; Enterobacteriaceae.